GCCAGGAUGGCAGAGUGGCUUAUGCGCCGGGCUGCAGACCCGGAGACGGGAGUUCAAUUCUCCCUCCUGGCU
Molecule: transfer RNA, 72 nt
Filed under: archaeon CG10_big_fil_rev_8_21_14_0_10_43_11
Lineage: Archaea
Description: tRNA-Cys
Rfam family: tRNA
About the family: Transfer RNA (tRNA) molecules are approximately 80 nucleotides in length. Their secondary structure includes four short double-helical elements and three loops (D, anti-codon, and T loops).
Source: RNAcentral